AUUCAAACACCGGUUCUCGUUCAAUCACAGGAGUUAAGCAACGUCGAGCCUGGUCAGUAACUAGAUGGGUGACCGCUUGGAAAUACCAGUUGCUGUAAG
Non-coding RNA from Acanthosepion pharaonis, 99 nucleotides. Lineage: Eukaryota; Metazoa; Mollusca; Cephalopoda; Sepiida; Sepiidae. The record is from the annotation of a GenBank genome assembly.